AUUAAUUUCUAAGCUCUUUGAGGGCGAGGAUUGAGUUUAAUUAACUGAUAUCCCCAAGACCUAGCUCAGAGCCCAGGAAAGCUGUGGCACAGUGGGAAGGGAGGUAGGGGUGAGUAAAGUGGGAGACAGAGGUGAGUGGGGCGAGAGAUAGGGGCGAGUGGGGCGGGAGGCAGGGGGCGAGUGUGGCGGGAGGCAGGGGGCGAGUGUGGCGGGAGGCAGGGGGCGAGUGUGGCGGGAGGCAGGGGGCGAGUGUGGCGGGAGGCAGGGGGCGAGUGUGGCGGGAGGCAGGGGGCGAGUGGGGCGGGAGGCAGGGGGCGAGUGGGGCGGGAGGUAGGGGGCGAGUGGGGCGGGAGGUAGGGGCGAGUGGGGCGGGAGGUAGGGGACGAGUGGGGCGGGAGGUAGGGGACGAGUGGGGCGGGAGGUAGGGGUGAGUGGGGCGGGAGGCAGGGGGUGAGCAGGGCAGAAGGGAGAGGCGAGUGGCGGGGGGAGGUGGGGCAGGAGGUAGGGGCGAGUUGCUAAGGAAGGUCUGUGCUCUUUGUUGGCAGUUUCUUCUCACGAUUCUUUGUUUCCCGUCAUUUCUGAGACCACCAACUGUCUUUAGUCCAAGAUUUUUUGUGAUGGUUCUCAUUAUGGGGAAAGGCUCACAGCAGGAUAGAGUGGGAGCAGCUGCUGCUGUUCCUAACUCACUCCUGAAUGCCCAGCACAGAAAUUGCGUGACUUUCGGGAGUGAAUAAAACCAAAGUGCCACAGGCAUACAGUAGAGUGUGUGUAAAUAAUAUAAAUGAAGUAAAUGGUAAUUCCUAGGACACAGAUUUUCCUUAAUCUCUUAAUGAAAUCAAGUAUUACAUUCUGAAGGGUAAGGAGAGACUGGUUAGGAGCACGAAUGGGGACACAAUAGAUAAAAGAUGGGCCUCUCUGGGCUGCAUUUUGCAGCCCAGAGAGGCUGAAAGCCUGGCUGAGCUUCAAGUCAAGAACAGCCUGGGUGUAUCCAAGGGAGCUCCUGAAAGAGAUGAUGUCAUCCUGGAAGCACUAAGCCUGGAAAGGGACAGUCACCAUCUGUGUUCCUGGCUGGAAGGCUGCACAGUGUGCAUGCGUGUGUGUGUGUGUGUGUGUGUGUGCGUGCAUGUGUGUGUGUGUGUGUGUGUAUGUGGCAGGCACCUGUAAAGCUUAUCUUAUCUCCCCAUCAAUCUCACCAGCAGCACCUAGACUCCUACCAAGGACCACUCCCCACCAACAGGCGGGUGGCAGAGGCAACAGGUCAGAACGCGCUGGGCCGCUCCAGUGACAAGAUUGACAUUGGCCACCCAGCUCUUAUGAUCACUUCUCUGCAGAAAGGGAUCAUUUUGUGAUUUACGGGCUGAGUAAAGCAAGGCCGAGUUGAAAUCUCAUCUGAGAGAUUUCUCUCAUCCUGGGCAGCUUGGGCCAGAUAUAGGGAGAUUGCUGUGGCUCCUCUGUAUUUUCCUAGCACCCAUUACUUACUUUUGGAACAGUGGUGCUUUCAUUUCACUUUGUACCACCACUAAAAAUUUCAUCACCCAGAGAUUACUUUAGGGCAAUAAAGAAUCACCUAAGAAGGAGGUUAAGGGAUUGCUGCUGGUCCCUCAAACAACUGUAUGAAACAGACUUCUUCCCCUUAACUCCUAAGGAAUAAAGGCAUCAGCCAUACCAAGGGAAUCAAGAGAUUUCAUUUAAAGGGAUAAAGAAAGAAAUGUGGGAAGCCAGAGCCCCUUGAAGGGAAAAACUGUCUGAGGAAGGCCACCUCAGGGCAACAUAAAAGCCCUGGCAGGUAUGAGAAGAGAGGAAGGGAGUAGGACAAGCUUUUCCAGGGCAGACCCCAGAGAUUCCCCUUUGAUACACAGCCCUUCAGCAGCACGGAAUUUGACUGCAGGACCCAGAAGGCAGGCUGCCUAAGUUCACCCCGAUCCUGAAGGCUGGCCCAAGGGACUUCACCACCACUUGUCACACCGUUUCUAUAUGGAAAUUUAUUUUUAGUCCCAACAACUAAUUUAUAAACAAGCAGUCGGAACCAAGCCCAUUCCUAAUUUGGAGACAAGAUGCACUGUUUCCUCAUUUAGGCUGAAACCACCAUAUCAAACCAAAAUUACGUGACCCCUGCCAAGUAGGACAAAGCCUUGCCCUUUUUAGGUGCUCAAUAAACGUUUAAUGAUGACAAUAAUGACACGCUGUAUCUAGGUACAGACAGUCCUCCAGCCCUGUGGCCUUCACAUCUGGCAUAUGCUGUCCUUGCUGUACUGUGUACUAGACCAAGCUCGUGCUGAUCAGGAACCCCAGGGUGUAGAGGACAAUGACUCCUCUCUCCUACCUGUUGGCUAGCUGCUGCUCGAAGUCCCCACAAUGCCGCAAAAGCUCUCCACAGGUGGCUAUUAUCCUAAACAAAACAAAAAGCACUUCAAGUUCAAGUAUCUGGAAUGCCAGCCUUUACAGGACAAACAUUGUCUUAUUCAUAAAAAUCCUAACUAUUUGCUCCUUUGGGUAGUUCUGGUUCUGGGAAAGCCGUUAAACAUCUGCUGGCCUGAAAUGUUUCAUUCAUUAGUCAUUAAUGUAAAAAGAAAAUGCUGGUCCCUUCCAAUAACCUCCAUUGUCACUGGCAUCUCUGCUACGAAAGCACAAUUCUAUCCAUGGCCCCCUCAAAUAAUUUUACAUUUCCAAAAUACUCAGCUUUGUCCUUGAGAAAAACAGGGUAGAGAUAUUUUAUAUCUAAAAUUUAUUAUUUAUUUAUUUAUUUAUUUUUGCAACUAAGUCUCGCUCUGUCACCCAGGCUGGAGUGCAAUGGCGUCAUCUUGGCUCACUGCAACCUCUGCCUCCCAGGUUCAAGUGACUCUCCUGCCUCAGCCUCCCAAGUAGCUGGGAUUACAGGCGCACGCCACCACGCCUGGCUAAUUUUUGUUAUUUUUAGUAGAGACGGGGUUUCACUAUAUUGGCCAGGCUGGUCUCAAACUCCCGACCUUAAGUGAUCCGCCUGCCUUGGCCUCCCAAAAUGCUGGGAUUAUAGGAGUGAGCCACCACAUCCUGCCUGUAUCUAAAAUUAAAAACAAAAAAAAUGUAUCACUUAAUAUUUGCUAGAUGCCUGCUAGUUUCCAGACACAGAAAAUGUUUUGGUACUAGAAGUAUCUUUCCCUGAUCAUAUGAAAGGCAGAUGAAGAUUAAUCCAUUUGUUUCUCAGAGAUAAGCCCAAAUGACCAUCAUAUCCGUAUUGAAUGAUCCUUUAAUUUUCAAGUAAUUUUAUGCCAAGCCUCAAACUCCCAGCUGCUGGGUCCUUCAACACCAAACUCAUAAUGUCAGGACAAAUCCAAGGAUUAAAAACAUCUUAAGUCUAGUUAACUUUUAACCUUCUCUAAAAGUGCGCAUCAUCACCAGGCUAUCUAGGCAUUCCAUCAUAAGAAAAGUUUAUGAGAAGGUAAAAUAUUCCACUUCCCUUACGUGCAACAGAACAAACUUGUGCAUAAUAUUUUCCAGAAUACCAAACCACCACGGGUGAUAAGGGAUACAGUUAGCAUCUAGAACAUUACAUUUUUUUUAAAUUUUAUUUUAAGUUCCGGGAUACAUGUGUAGGACGUGCAGGUUUGUUAAUAGGUAAACGUGUGUCAUCGUGGUUUGCUGCACCUAUCAACCCAUAGAACAUUAAAUUUCAUCAAAACAAUCCAGAACAGAGCCUGUGAGGUGAGGUAAUAAUCUAAAAUGGUCCUGAGUGGUCCUGGAUCUACCCAACGGCCUUGGGUGGGUCUGGGUCUGCUCUGGCAUGGGCCACCGCAUUAAGAACCACAUGUGUCACGGGCAAGGGUCAGGUAAGACAUGAAAGUGGGUGAAGUGCGCCAAGUGAACGGCCAUUUCUCUCUUGGGAAAAUAUAUCCAGGAAGAAUGGUUUUAAGAAAAAGAAACUUCCAGAUUGCU
This 3912-nucleotide long non-coding RNA is filed under the name Homo sapiens (human). RNAcentral describes it as "HSALNT0384989". Lineage: Eukaryota; Metazoa; Chordata; Mammalia; Primates; Hominidae. The record is from RNAcentral.